GAGAAAGGGAGUUUGUGAAGAGAGGAGGUGAUUUUUGAAGGAGAUAAAGGAGAAAAAAGAAUGAAUCAAGAGUUUGGGAUUUUCAUAGGCUUGGAUUCCAAGAUUGAGAUUUGAGCCUGGUUUGAGAUUGGGUGUUAGCCAAGAAGUGAUUGAGCAACAAAUUGGCUAAGGUUGGUUGAAUUUGGAGACAUGGUAACAAGGAUUUGGGCGACUUGCUCAAAAGAGGUAGGGAUUUUCUUAACCCUCAAUUUUGAAACACUAUUGGCUACCCGAAUCAUGUUUAGAUUCAUUCAUUUCCGCCUUAUUAUUCAAAGGGAAACAAACCCUUUGUAUGUAUGCUAUUGUGUAUGAAAUACCAUUAUUGUUGGGUGCUUGUGUUUGAUGCAUGUAACCCUUUAGGCGCUCGAUCUUUCAUCGAGUGGUUGAUAAUCUUGGCAUGUAUUUUGAAUGGAAUUGCGCAAAAUUUAUGUUUUGCAUACUUUGUAUGUGACAUGAUGUGCAUUAGUUGUAUGAUAUGUAUUAAUUGCAUGGUGUUGGAGAUAUGGGGAAAUGACUCAGUAUUAGAGAAC
Long non-coding RNA from Tripterygium wilfordii, 569 nucleotides. RefSeq lists it as uncharacterized. The record is from RefSeq and is a predicted model, not a curated record. The transcript is spliced from 3 exons. NCBI's taxonomy places the organism in Eukaryota, Viridiplantae, Streptophyta, Magnoliopsida, Celastrales, Celastraceae.